CUCUCUCUCUCUCUCUCUCUCUGUACCUCACCCCCUAACUUAAACAGAAAGUUAUAGAGAUUCUCUAACAGUUGCCUUACCGACACUGGCUUGUUGGGAAGUACUUUGGCAGUGUUCAGGUAGGGCUGGGCGGUCUGCUGAUGAGAGCUGGGAUAUUUAAGAACUGCAUAGAUGACUGGGCUAUAUACAUUACAAGAUGGCUCUAGCCUUGAGAUCUUGUGAUUCUAAACAGUGUGUGUUUAAAUUAAUCAAGAGAGAUCUAAGACCAAUCUUAUUUCAGGAUCCAUAUUAUUUUUCUGAAUUCUAUCCUAAUAUGUACUCUGUGGAGUUGUACAUAAGAAGUUACUCUUAAUUUUAGAGUACAUUAGCGUAAAUGCAGUCUUACCAAAGCCCCAACAAACUCCAGAAAUUAGAACACUUUUAUCAGUCUCAUGUCUGAUCUCAUAUUUGGGGCUCCCCUACAGCCAGUGGGGCAGAGACAGAGCAUCCACACAAGGUAAAAAAAAAUGCCUUAAGUAUA
This is a long non-coding RNA of Ochotona curzoniae (black-lipped pika), 520 nucleotides long. RefSeq lists it as uncharacterized. The transcript has 3 exons. The record is from RefSeq and is a predicted model, not a curated record. NCBI's taxonomy places the organism in Eukaryota, Metazoa, Chordata, Mammalia, Lagomorpha, Ochotonidae.